This is a long non-coding RNA of Sorex araneus (European shrew), 3470 nucleotides long. RefSeq lists it as uncharacterized. The record is from RefSeq and is a predicted model, not a curated record. NCBI's taxonomy places the organism in Eukaryota, Metazoa, Chordata, Mammalia, Eulipotyphla, Soricidae. The transcript has 5 exons.
AAAAUUAAGUGCCUGCCAUAGAGGCAGGGGAGACUUCCCGCUCAAGCUGUCAAGAAGAAAACCCAUCACAAAGAAAUCCAGUGAUCUCUCCGUUAAAAUGAUGAAAUCAGUUUCACAAGAAAAGAAGGCUCCCUCUGCUUUUAAGUAUCCUGAGAAUCUUAGAAGUCCACCAGAGCAGGAAGAUCCCUCCUGUGGCGACGGCAGAGACACGGAUCAUGGAAAGGCAUUUUCUCAUGCCAGCAGCUAUGACAGCAAACUUAGGGAGCACAGAUACUGUGUGUAAAAGAAGGGGCUGGACCUUAUCUAUCUUGUUACAGGAGUCUUUAUCAUACUGCUGGCACACAAUAUAGUUGGGUCCCAAGAUGACCAUUGAGUCCUGGACAGGAGGAAGGCGGCGCUGCAGUGGCUUCCAGGCCAACAGAGGUCUGUGCACCUUCCCCAGCUGCCCAUCAGACAGAAACUUACUUUAUUGCAAUAAAUAUUUACACACAUUUAAUAUUUAAUGUAAGCCAAUUCAUUUGAAUAUUUUGUACUGUGAUGCUUUAAUGCCUUGCCUAAACCAGUAGUUUAUCAUCUGGAAGAGGGUCCAGUACUGUCACCCCAAAAUGAUAUAUUCAAGCCACAAGCCCCAGAACCCGGGAUGGCAUCCCUAUCAGGAUAAAAGGUCUCUGCUGUGACUGCUGAGACGGAGGGCAUCAUGGAUUCAGAGUGGGAUCUGGUCACCACUGUCCCCAUGAACAGGAGCAACUCUGACAGGGACACAAAGACCAGGAUCCAGGAGAGACCCAAGAGCACUCAGUUAUUCUCACCGCCUUGGGCUGCCUGCAGACACCAGAGUGGAUAGGAGAGUCCAAGAGUGGACAAACCUCUGGCUCUGAGAGGGUCCCACAGGCCCACAGGGGUUUCAGCUCUCGGCCUCCUGAACCAUUGGAGAAUAAACCAGAGAAUCCAUUCUCUUGGUCGCUUCUUACAACAAUCUCAGGACACUCACCCAGAUGUCAUUUUGAAUAAGAUAUUUUGAAUAAGACUCCAAUGAUCUGCCAAUUUCAGUGACAGUUGUUCAUUUUAAAUAAAUUAUUGUCAUAAAGUAAUAUAGAUAACAUAUUGUGAAUAUAGGGCUGGAGCAAUAGCACAGUGGUAGGGCAUUCGCCUUUCACGCGGCCGACCCGUGUUCGAUUCCUCCGCCCCUGUCUGAGAGUCCGGCAAGCUACCAAGAGUUUUGCGUCCGCACGGCAGAGUCUGGCAAGCUACCUGUGCAUAUUGGAUAUGCCAAAAACAGUAACAGUAAGUCUCACAAUGAGAGACGUUACUGGUGCCUCCCUGAACAAAUCGAUGAGCAACCGGGUGACAGUGACAGUGAUUGUGAAUAUGUAUUUGCAGGAAAGUACAAAGGAUACCAUAUUACUAAGAAUUUGUUCAAGUGCCCAAACAAACCAGCUUUUACUAGGGCCAUGGGGCAGCAGUUCAGGCGACCCCUGCUGUUGCUCAGGGUGUACCUCUUUCUCCUUGCUCUGGGGUCUCUCUUCCUGCUCCUGGCAGGGCUCAGGCGACCAUCUGUAGUGCCGGGAUUGAAGGAAUAUGGGUUGGCCACAUGCAAGACGAGUCCCUCACCCCUGUGAGGUUCCUCAGACCCCCAAUCAAGCUUUUCAAACCAGACUUGUAGAACUUCAAUGCUUUGGACUGGUAAUGGUUUGAAUGUAGUUCAGCUUAGAUCAAAAACCUCUAAAGACUCAAGAAAUUCAGUGGAAAUGACUGUACAAAGGAAACACCCUAUCACAGCAGGAAAUGAGAAAUCUAGAAGACACACAAAUAGGUUCCUUUAGAUAAGAAUUCUCUCUUUACUUUUAUUCCACUCCUAUCCUUGUUCCAAACACUGGACCCAGGCUUCACAAUGUAUUGGACUGGGUUGUGUUGUGCUAUACUGCAUCACUGUAUAUAGUAUCAUUUGUAUUUUAUUGUAUUGUUUUGUAUUGUAUUUUUGUAUCAUCUAGUUUAUAUUUGUUGCCUUGUUUUGUACUGUACUAUUUUGUAUCAUUCUGUGUUGACAUUGUUUUGUAUUGCUUUAUUUUGUAUUGACAGUGCAUAGGGGCUACUGCUCCCUGCUCUGUGAUCCAGGCUUGACUCACAGGAGUGCGUGGGGGAGCGUGUGGUGCCAGGAAGAGAGGCCAGCUUCCCACAUGUGAAGCAAGUGCUCCAGCCCUUCAUGUUAUCUCUCCAGUCACGGGCCUCACACUUAAACACAACCAAGGCCCCGGGUGGGACAGCAGCACACAGGAGGUCCCAUAUUUGAACUUGGAAACACACACACUGCCACAGGCUGUCCACUACUACCUCACCCAAGUACCUUGGGUCAUCUUUUGAGUUUUGCCCUGCCUGGAUCCUUUUCACACAUUGUUGCAUAUAAAAAAGUAACAUUAAACUCAUUUUUAAUAAGAAAAUGAAGGAGUGGAAGAGACAGUCCAGCUGGUCUGGGUCUUCUUGCCUUGCACUCAGUGGACCGGACCUGGGUUUGAUUCUCGGCACCCCAAUUUGUCCCCUGAGCCUCACCAGGAGUGAUCCCUGAGCACAGGUCUGGAGAAAGCCAUGAGCACAGUUGUGUGUGGUGUGUGUGUACAUGCACACACACACACACAUACACACACACAUACACACUUCAAAAAGUGAAUCUGUGAGGGUAUGGUGCCGCCAGCAGUUCACCCUGUACCUGUGGGCCAGUGCAUUGGCAGCCUGUGGUGACUUCAGACUUCCAGAUACCCCAAAAUUGCUACUGUGCCUCUGGCCAGAUCCCGACAACUUGAGGCCAAGUUUACCAAGAAAUUAAACAGCCAAAAUUUAGGCAUGUGGAAGACACACCCACAAACCACCUCUGGCUCAGCUAUAUAAGCUCAUUUAUUGGCCUUAUUUUAGAGACCCAUAAAUCUUGAAAGAGAUCAAAAGACGCAGUUAGGGUCUAUAGCACAGAGGUAGGCGGGAACCCAUAACUGAGAUCUCUAGGCCCAACUGGAUCAGGACUGGGCCUCCUUCCCCCACGCCCCCAGUUUUCCAGUAGCUUGGCAGUCACACCCACAAGCUAUCCCCUGCACCAUGCAAUCUCAUCAACAGCCAAGACCCAGAGACUAUAAACUAAAAAUCCUGGAAAAGAGCACCACAGAAUGUCCUGACCCCACGCCAGGCUGUCUUCACCAGGGCACCUUGGAGGGGGGCAGGUUGAGUCCCUCCUUGCCACAAGCAGAACCCCAACAGCGGAAAAUAUCCAGAACCCAAGUGCCGCCAUACCCAAGGCCACUUUCCACAUGCUUUAUUACCCAAGAUGGGAUAAACCUCACCAGAGAGCAGACUGGCAGGAAAACAUAGGUAUGUGGGAUCCCGUGACUGAGAUCUCCAAGCCCGCUUGGAUCAAGACUGGGCCUCCUCACCCCACCCCUUGCCCCAUCUUCAGCUUUCUAGAAACUUGACAGUUGCUCCCACAA